RNAcentral lists this ribosomal RNA (375 nucleotides) under uncultured organism. Its description in RNAcentral is "partial 16S ribosomal RNA". It matches the Rfam family "Bacterial small subunit ribosomal RNA", at positions 526 to 897 of the family's 1533-position model. The record is from RNAcentral.
GUAGGGGAGCAAGCGUUGUUCGGAAUCAUUGGGCGUAAAGAGCGCGUAGGGUGGUUUGGUAAGUCUGUUGUGAAAUCCCAUAGCUCAACUGUGGAACUGCGACGGAAACUGCCAGACUUGAGUGCGGGAGAGGAAAGUGGAAUUCCCAGUGUAGAGGUGAAAUUCGUAGAUACUGGGAGGAACACCGGUGGCGAAGGCGGCUUUCUGGACCGCAACUGACGCUGAGGCGCGAAAGCUAGGGGAGCAAACGGGAUUAGAUACCCCGGUAGUCCUAGCCGUAAACGAUGGGCACUAGGUGUGGGGGGUAUCGACCCCUUCUGUGCCGUAGCUAACGCAUUAAGUGCCCCGCCUGGGGAGUACGGUCGCAAAGACUAA